GACGGGCAGCCCCUGCCGGCGACCGUCGGUGCGGCUCGGCUGGCUCUCGGGCCCCAGCCGCUGCUGCGAUUCCUCGUCCGUCGCGGGACACACGGGGACGGCGGCGGUGGGGGCGGCCCUGAGAGAACGGGGAGGAGCGUGGGCCGUCGGCGGCUCCAGCAGCCGGGGGAAGGAGGCGGGAGCUCUCCCUUUCCUCCGCUCGGAGCUGCGGGCGUUCGGGACGCACAGCCGGGAACUGGGAGGACGCGGCGAUUGCGGGCCCGGGCCAGAAUCCUCCAGGAAAAAGAGACAUGACAGUCUACAACGAUAGGUCCUGACAAGAAGUUGAUAAAAGCAAAGGAACGGAAAUUAACAGCUAGUGACCAGAAUUUCAAACCACCAGGAUUUUGCAUUCAUCACUUCCAGCUGUAGAGUUCUGUUUCCAGCUUUUAAAUCAGAUAUAUCCUUAGAACCCAGAAAAGACAAAAAUAUACUUUUCUUUUGUAUUUGUUUUUAUGUCAAAGAAACUGCAAUAUCUAGGGAACAAAGCCAGAAGGGUAAGAUUAUCUAUGUGGGCAUAAAUUGUUAAAAGAAUAGUUGUAGUGAGCUGGGGAUGUAACUCAGUGGUAGAAUCCUUGCCUAGCAUGCACAAGACUUUAGGUUUGAUCCCCAGCAUUGCCCACCCCCCCAAAAAAAAAAGUUGGCAAAGAUCUUCUUUCUAGCCACAUAUUUUUUAGUAUUCUUUAUGUGUGUAUGUGCAUGUGUGAAACAGGGUCUCACUGUGUGGUCCAGACUGGCCUCAAACUCACAGCAAUCCUCCUGCCUCAGCCUCCCAAGUGCUAGGAUUAUAAGUGUGCACCACCAUGUCC
Molecule: long non-coding RNA, 848 nt
Filed under: Chinchilla lanigera (long-tailed chinchilla)
Lineage: Eukaryota; Metazoa; Chordata; Mammalia; Rodentia; Chinchillidae
Description: lncRNA (ENSCLAG00000028821.1)
Source: RNAcentral